GCAGAGUUGACAAACAGUGAGUCAGGUGGCCCGGGGCGUGGGUGCUCCGCCCUCAGGUGCACUGCGUCCUGGCGGCAGUGCGGGCCUGCGAGGCUACCCAAAGCCCUGGGGGCUUUUUCCUACAAAUGCUGGGGACCGUGCGAUAGCUGGGGCGUAGCUGCUUCCACUGUCCUACCAAAUCCUGAAUAUCGUCCACCUCCUUUGCAUGCCAUUCACCGCCAACCAAAAUCCAGCGCCAAUUUACCCCUCCAGCUGCAUCCCCGACCGUUUCACCACCAUACUUAAAACCCUUUGGACUCCCACUGACCUACAGUGGCUCCAGGGUUAAGCCCAGAAGUUCUGGAAUCAGACCUGGAGCUUGCAUUCUUUACCAGCUGUGUGGAUUUGGACAAAUUAAUUAACCUCUCUGAGUCUGUGAUCACUCAGUUUCAUCUGCAAACCAGGGUUCCCCUGUCAACAUCUCAUUGAAGUCAUGGGUCUGGUUUGAGGUCACGAGGCCAAUUCAAGAGGCACAGUUCUCCAAGGAUGGAAGAUGGGGGUGGAGAAGGCAACAAAGAUGGAUGAGCUGGGGCCAUGAUGAUGAGGAUGAUGAUGUUGAUGAUGAUGAUGGUGAUGGCGGCCGAGUGCCCUGUGAUUUACAGGCCCAUCUGGUUUCAUGUUUGCAACAGCCAAUCAAGUGGGUACCAGGUGCCAUCAUUCCCACUUUACAGAUGAGAAGACUGAGCCCCAGACAGGUUAAGUGACUCCCCCAGCCCUGCAAUGAGGAAGGGCCCAGCACAGCUCCAGGCACAACAAGCAGGCACUCCAAGCAUAGGGAGGUCUGGUGGACCAGGCCUGGCCCAGGAGCUUGUCGGCAAGGCAGAGCCGCAUCCAGGCUCCCGGACCAGGAUCCGCACACGAACAACAGGCCCAGGAGUUCCCAUGGCUGUGGCUGCUGGACCCCCGCACCAGGUGGGCUGGCGGCUGUGUCCCACACAUGCUCUCUAGAGCCUGAGAAAUGCUCAUCCUGCAGGCACUCCCCAGGCCUUUAGAGAGGACAUUCUCCCACUCUCUUUUAUGGAAAGCCAUGGAAUCUUCUGUGUGGAUGCAGCCUGGGCAGUCAGAGAGGGGCCUGGCCCUCACGUGGCCGCAGCUGACCCCUCCCCGCCGCAGCUCUCCAGUCUCCUCUGCGACGUGACAGCCCUGGCUUCUCUGCUGUGGGGAGGAGAGUAUUUUUAGUUUUGAACCCACCACGUGAAGCGAGACAAGUUAUCAAUAGCAGCAGCAAAGGGCUUUUUCUUUCUCUCUCUCUUU
This 1293-nucleotide long non-coding RNA is filed under the name Homo sapiens (human). RNAcentral describes it as "non-protein coding lnc-HRH3-1:2". Lineage: Eukaryota; Metazoa; Chordata; Mammalia; Primates; Hominidae. The record is from RNAcentral.